This 305-nucleotide ribosomal RNA is filed under the name uncultured bacterium. Its description in RNAcentral is "bacterial SSU rRNA". It matches the Rfam family "Bacterial small subunit ribosomal RNA", at positions 338 to 660 of the family's 1533-position model. The record is from RNAcentral.
CCUACGGGGGGCAGCAGUGGGGAAUAUUGCACAAUGGGGGAAACCCUGAUGCAGCGACGCCGCGUGAGCGAAGAAGUAUUUCGGUAUGUAAAGCUCUAUCAGCAGGGAAGAAAAAUGACGGUACCUGAGUAAGAAGCACCGGCUAAAUACGUGCCAGCAGCCGCGGUAAUACGUAUGGUGCAAGCGUUAUCCGGAUUUAUUGGGUUUAAAGGGUGCGUAGGCGGAAUAUCAAGUCAGCGGUAAAAAUUCGGGGCUCAACCCCGUCGUGCCGUUGAAACUGAUGUUCUUGAGUGGGCGAGAAGUAU